AGCAAUCCAAAACUUCCAAAAUCCAUUCUUUUUAACAUUAUAUCCUUCUUCUUCUUCUUAUUCCGCUGUCUGCUUCAAAAUAUCAAGUGUAAAAGCAUCUUUUAAGAGAUUAGAAUGUGUGAACAGUUCAGAGAAAUUGGGUAAUGCUGGUUUUGACUAGGAAGAUUACAAGAUCCAUGAGGUUAAAAGGGAAAAACUUGUAGUUUUCGUCUCCGGCGGAGGUUCAAACUUUAAGUCAAUUCAUCAAGCUUGCCUUCAGGGAUCAGCCCAUGGGUCACGUUGUCCCUGUGCUUGCAAAUGACACUGCAGAGGAGUUGGCCACAGGGGUUCUUAGAUAGCAUCAGUUGUACGUCGAGAACAUUAUGCGAAGGGCAAACAAUUUGGAGGGAAGAUGGUGUCCCUCUCAUCCGGAGUUACUUCCAAGUGGAGUCAUUGCACAACAAAUUCUUAAAUAAUAUAAUCACACAGCUAAGUCAGCUAACUUUCCAUCAAAGUGCGUGAACACUUAAUUGGACUGUUGUGAAGUAAAUAUCAGGGAGAAAUUGCGCACUUCUAGGAUUUCUCCUUGAUAUUUACUUCACAGCAGUGCGCAAUUGCAGUUAAAUUGCAAUUUCACUAGUUGAGAACUUUGCAUGUGUAAUAGAUCUAAAUCCAAAACCAAUAUUUGCCUA
Hevea brasiliensis (rubber tree) is the source of this 671-nucleotide long non-coding RNA. RefSeq lists it as uncharacterized. The transcript has 2 exons. The record is from RefSeq and is a predicted model, not a curated record. Lineage: Eukaryota; Viridiplantae; Streptophyta; Magnoliopsida; Malpighiales; Euphorbiaceae.